This 251-nucleotide unclassified non-coding RNA is filed under the name uncultured Hydnellum. RNAcentral's name for it is "sequence contains ITS2". The record is from RNAcentral. Lineage: Eukaryota; Fungi; Basidiomycota; Agaricomycetes; Thelephorales; Thelephoraceae.
AAUUCUCAACUGCUUUGGCUUUGCUCAAAGUGAAGUUGGACUUUGGAGGGUUUGUCGGCGUGCACGACUCCUCCUAAAAGCAUGAAGCCUUUUCUUUGCCAGAUCUCUUGGCGCAAAGUAUCUUUGACGUGAUAACUGUCUACGUCGCAGAGAAAGCCUUGAGCAGAGAGCGUUCUCUUUUGAAAGGGGAGUGUUUUCGACAAGGACGGGGUUUGUUGCGUGAGGCACUUAUGGGGCCUCACUUUGACCAA